Molecule: long non-coding RNA, 222 nt
Filed under: Elaeis guineensis (African oil palm)
Lineage: Eukaryota; Viridiplantae; Streptophyta; Magnoliopsida; Arecales; Arecaceae
Description: long non-coding RNA (EGUI_LNC062320)
Source: RNAcentral
CACCAUGGUGACUUACAAGCAACUCACUGUGCUUUGGUGCCAAACUACCUAAAUUUCUAAUUCAGGAUCGAAAGAUUUCUGGGCAUAGUCAAGUACUUGUGAAGUCGGUGCAUGAGUCAAGAUAGAAUUGACCACUCCAAGAGAUUGGAGAGAAUACUUUGUGUUUCGAUUUAGUUAGACCUUGGCUAGGGCAAUCCUUGUGAGGAGUCACAGGAUUUAUCU